This 4638-nucleotide long non-coding RNA is filed under the name Sorghum bicolor (sorghum). RNAcentral's name for it is "long non-coding RNA (SBIC_LNC016564)". Lineage: Eukaryota; Viridiplantae; Streptophyta; Magnoliopsida; Poales; Poaceae. The record is from RNAcentral.
GCCAGUCUCGAUAGAGAGCUUAAUGUCUCGGUUUCCAACACAUCUAAUUUUAGAAACAGUGCACAAGAGUUUCAUAUGGAUAAAACUAUCAUCUCUCACUUAAUUAAUACAGCAUAAUAUCAGCAUAUUUAAUGCUCAUAAAACUUUAAUAAAAUCAUAUUGAAACUAGCCUUAAAGAGUGCAAAAGACCAAGCCAUCUUUUCUGGUCAUGUACUGUAACUCCUUUUGAAGUCCACCCACCAAUUGUCUUCUAUUCAACAAUCCCUCACAAAACACUUAGGAUUUCUAACCAAAUUGUAAAGAUCGCUGUAAAUGAUUUUAAGAAAAACCUCCUUUAGCCAGCAAUCCUUCUAAAAACGACACAACCUCCAAUUCUCUAUCUUAAAAGUAGCUCCCCAUUUGAAGAGAUGUUUAACCUUGUGUAACCCUUUCCAAGGGUUGUAACAGAAGUUUCAGUAACUUUCGAAAUGCCCUGUCAUGUUUUCCAUCCGCUUCGCGUUCACAUGACACCACUUGAUAAUGAUAUAUAUACUACUCCGUCCCUCAAUCAAAAUAUGGAUAAUGAUAUACUCCGUACCUCAAUCAAAAUAUGGUCGGGAGGAGCUGACAAAACAGCGCAAAAGCACGUUUUAAAUAAUUGACAUGCUAUCGAGAACAGUACUUUCAACACGCAGGGAAGGCAUGUUCUCGUUUAGUUGGCCGUUUAGCUCCGAAAACCAUUUUUGUUAUUUUUGUUAUUUGAUAAUUAUUGUUUAAUUAUGGGCUAACUACUCAACAAAUUUAUCUUGUGAUUUACAGGUAAACUGUGCAAUUAGUUUUUAUUUUUAUCUAUAUUUAGUGCUUCAUACAUGUGCCGCAAGAUUCGAUGUGACAAAAAUCUUAAAAAGCUUUUUGUUUUUGAGAUGAACUAAUCAAGGCCUAAAUAAAUAUUUAAACAAAUGUAUUGACAUACUAUUGAGAACAACGGUCCUUUUCUCGUUUCAACUGGGUCUUGUGGGGUGAAAAGUUUUUGGGUGGUACAUAAGAUGUUAGAAGAAGAAUUUGGAUUCUAAUAAAAAUAAUAAAUUACAUAGAAAACUGCAAGACAAAUUUAUUAAGCCUAAUUAAUCUAUCAUUAGCACAUGUGCUGUAGUAGUUAUCGUUAAUUAUAGACUAAUUAGAUUUAAAAGAUUAAUCUCACAAUUUACAAACAAACCAAACUUAAUGAUUUGAUGCGAUGGAUAAAAAUUUUUUAAGUGUGGAACUAAGAGCAUCUCCAAUAGAACUUGGCAUCCAUAAAAAUUUAGCAAAACAAAAAAAAUAGUCUCCAACAGUUUACCAUCUAGACUUGGUAUUUAUCCUAACUUGGCAUAUCUCCUCCUUCAGCGCGUAAAUAUACUCGUGCGGGGCGUAAAUAUACGCGUGCGUAUCGAGCUCCCCAUUCUGUUUUCGUGCGGAUUUUUCUAGUUGGCGCGGCUUCCUGAUUGGUUCUGGUUGUGCUGCUGCCUGUUUGAAGUGACUAGAGUACAGGUGUGGUCCAUGCGAGUGCUGCCAAAUAUGCCAGGUGCUGAAUAAAUGACGAUGCUCCUUCUUUUCACACGAAACUAUUUUUUGGUAAAAUGAACAUGGUACCACUUUCAUUUCUAUUUGCUUGGAUUAACUAGGGCCUUGUUUAGUUCUCAAAAAAUUUUACAAAAUUUUUUAGAUUCUCCGUCACAUCAAAUCUUUAGAUAUAUGCAUGAAGUACUAAAUAUAGAUAAAAAUAAAAACUAAUUGCACAGUUUAGUCGAAAUUGACGAGACAAAUCUUUUGAGCCUAGUUAGUCCAUGAUUGGACAAUAUUUGUCAAAUACAAACGAAAAAGCUACAGUGUCCAUUUUACAAAAUAUUUUGAAACGAAACAAGGCCUAGGCUUAAAAGAUUCAUCUCGCAAAUUACAGAUAAAUUAUGCAAUUAUUUAUUUUUUAUCUAUAUUUAAUGCUUCAUACAUGUACCACAAUAUUCGAUGGAACUAAAAAAAGGCCUAAACGAAACACGUGACCAAAAUUUCUACAUUUCAGCAUAGUGGUGGGUCUUUCUUUGUUUUGCCAAGUUAAAAAUAGGGAAUUAUUGGAGAGAGUGUCUUUUAAACUUGACAUAUUCUUUUAGCAACUUGCUAAAACACAACAUUUGCCAAGUAAAUUUUGGCAAACUGUUAAAGUAAAUAAAGCCUGAACGUUUAAAACUAAUGCUAUCAGUCAGUCGAUGCGAAAACAUUUAAAAUCCAUUAUCCUGAAUUAUUUGUAGUCAUAUGCAGGGAUUAUCAGAGAUUGUUAAGCUCAAGCCUCAAAGAAAAAAAUUUUGAUUGUAGCACUUUUGUUUCUUUGUGAUAAUUAUUGUCUAAUUAUAGACUAAUUAGGCUUAAAAAAUUCAUCUCGUCAAUUUUGACCAAACUAUACAAUUAGUUUUUAUUUUCAUCUAUAUUUAAUACUCUAUGCAUACGUACGUUUAAAGGUUACAGAAAAUCUUAAAAAAAAUAGGUUUUUGGGUUCAAUAUGACGAAAAAUCUUAAAAAAAUAAGUUUUUAGGUGAAAGUAAACAGGGCCCAAAGAAAUGAAAUGAAAGCAAAAUAAAAUAUAGGCCCUCUUUGGAUCAUACUUCAUGCUUUUUUUCCUAUGGAAUUGAACUAGAGGAGGCCAAUGCUAUGGAAUGCUUCUUGUACUUUUUCUAUGAACCAAAGAGUAGGAUAGGAAAAUUUUCUUUGAGAAUCCUAUCCUACAAAAUUCCUUUGUUUCACCCUUGAACAAAGGAGCCCUAAAAUGUGGGUCGAAUCCAGGCCCGCAUGAUCAAAGCCCGAAGGCGUCACGGCGAGCAGACAUGCAGACCCGCUGGUGCUCUGCUCUCCGUGCACACUACCAUGCUUCCUUCCUCUUUCUCAUCCAGAGCAUCGGCUUAUUGUGCACGGCUUAAAGAUCUUCAUAAAACAAAGGACUUUUUUCAAACUUCUUUUUUAUGAAAGAUCGAACCAUGGAGGAAUGGAUGGAUGUUUAUCAGUUGAUCAGAUAAUUGUAGUCUGAUUUUUCGAGUCAACACAACUAUGCGUUUCUGCGAAGGCUUAUCCUCACAUCAACUGGGCCAAAAUCUUGUAUUUCUGAUUUUGCAAGAAGGGGAAAAGAUAGAACUGAAAAAGCAAAAUCAAUAGAGGGUAUUUUUUCAACAAAGAAUAAGAAGCUUGGAAAGUCGCUUGAUCGGGCAGAGGCUCAGAAGGAUCCAUUGGUUAUUCUCAAUCAGCAGGGCGGAACCCCGUCCCUCAGAAAAUCCCUUAUCAUGACGCAUCACAGCCUCCAAACGGCGAGAUCCAAACCGAAAUGCAAGUGAAAAACAAUCGAUCAGAAACCUACAUAACAUAAACGCAUCGGCAAAAUGCAAGCGAUGAGAACUGGAUGCACGAUUUGCAGGUGGCGGCUACGCAGGUGGAACCGAACAACGGGGAGGCGGCGGAGGGGAGGGAGGUGAGAGGUGCGCCUGGCGAAGAGACCAGAGUAUAUAUAGCGAGGGUGGUGUGGACUAGGGUUAUCCAGCGACUCGCUGUGUUUGGGCCUCCGUGGACAUUUCGAUGAAAUCAAAAGAGUAGGCCUAUAGUUUUUCCCAGCCCAUUUCAGGUAACAGCUGGCCCAAUUUUUGCACCAGACACAAACACAAAAAAAAAAAUUGUUCCUUACAAUUUUUUUGCACCGGAAGUGAGAGAAAAAAAGAUUCUACUCUCUCCGUCUAUAAAAUAAUGUAAUUCUCACGUUCUAAAAAAUCAAACAAUUUAAACUUUUGAGUAAAAUUAUAUAAAAAGGUACUAAUACUCAUGAAGUAAAAUAAGUAUCAUUACAUUAGUUAGAGAAUAGUUAGGUCCAGCUUCCCCUAAAAGAGCUUUGGCUAUUUAUGGAGCAACUUCUCUAGGGGAGUUAAAGACAUUUUCAAUAAAUGUUCGACAAAAUAGCUCCCGUAGCAGUUCUGUAAUAAUUUAUAUCUGGCUCCUCUAGGCCCCUUGCAAGGAACAAAAAUUCAGAGCCUAGCUAAACGCAGACAAAUUGGCUUAUCACGACUCGCAAACCUUAUACAAAUUAUUAUAGAUUACAGAACUGCUCUUGAAAUCAUACCAAAUAGUUUCUAGAACAACUUCAGCUUGUUUGUCUAAAUUGUAAAUAAAAAGUAAAGGAUAUAUGUCCUAAAGCGGAUAUCUUUCCAUCUUUUUCUUUUUGGUUAUUUCUAACCCGCCGAUAGCUUGGUCUAUAGUCUAUACAGACGUCGCCUGAUGUGUCACCGGUUGAUUCCUUCAACUACUGUAUUUAAACUCAAAUCAAUCAAUGGAAAAACACACUUCAAUUCAUUCUCUCGUUCUUACAUACUUGAACAGGACAAACCAUUUUUACUGCAAAAAUUAAGAGAUGCUAUUCUUUGGAGAAGUACACCCAGAACUAUACCGCAACACUGUCUCCGCAGAGAAAAAAGUUGUAUUAAAAUUCGCAACAGAAAGAAGGCUUAAUGCCGUACAACUCAGCGUACAAACUCUGAAUGGAGACGAAAACAUGUAAGCAAAGCAAUCGGACAACCUCUUCAUUAGCACAGCAGCAUGAACUUUUACAUCACUUCCUCGUUACAAUGGCAAUGCUCAAGCAGGAACCCAAAC